UACGUAGGGUGCGAGCGUUAAUCGGAAUUACUGGGCGUAAAGCGUGCGCAGGCGGUUUUGUAAGCCAGAUGUGAAAUCCCCGGGCUUAACCUGGGAAUGGCAUUUGGGACUGCAAGGCUCGAGUGCGGCAGAGGAGACUGGAAUUCCUGGUGUAGCAGUGAAAUGCGUAGAUAUCAGGAGGAACACCGAUGGCGAAGGCAGGUCUCUGGGCUGACACUGACGCUCAUGCACGAAAGCGUGGGUAGCAAACAGG
This 253-nucleotide ribosomal RNA is filed under the name uncultured bacterium. Its description in RNAcentral is "partial 16S ribosomal RNA". It matches the Rfam family "Bacterial small subunit ribosomal RNA", at positions 524 to 776 of the family's 1533-position model. The record is from RNAcentral.